Molecule: long non-coding RNA, 2172 nt
Filed under: Canis lupus familiaris (dog)
Lineage: Eukaryota; Metazoa; Chordata; Mammalia; Carnivora; Canidae
Description: lncRNA (ENSCAFG00845014983.1)
Source: RNAcentral
AGUAUUUAGGUGAAUUUCACAUAUUAUUUUAUCCUGCUGUAAUGGUAAACACUUGUAGUUUCCAACUGCACAUCCACUUCCCCUUCUCUUAUCAGAUUCUGAUUUUCUUCCAGGUACUGGUAUGCCAGUAAUAAAAUACUAAGAUAAAAUACUUAAAAAUAAAAAUAUGUAUUUCCCAACCUUUCAUGUACCUGGAAGUAGCCAUUUCACACAGUUCUGGCAGUGAUAGGAGAAUGGAAGUCUCUAGAAAGAAUGUCCACAUAACAAAAAAAGAAAAUGCUCAAGGAGAAGGCUUGUUUGGCCCUUUCUUCUCCUCUCUCUCUCUCUCUCUCCCCCCUUUCUUUCUUUCUUUCUUUCUUUCUUUCUUUCUUUCUUUCUUUCUUUCUUUCUUUCUUUCUUUCUUUCUUUCUUCUUCUCUUUCUUUCACCUCUUUCAAGAAUCACAUAAAGAGUCUUCUACAAUUUAUCAAGCAAAAACCAAAAAGAUCCUCACCACCACUGCAACACAAAGAAACAAAGGAAAUGGGAAACAGGGAAUUGUCCCGUUCUGACUUUGGGCAAUUGUUGCCAGUUGAGGCAGAUUUUACCUCUGAGGGCAUUUGGUGAUGUCUGAAAUAGUCUCAGUUGUCAUAACUGGAUGGGUAGGGUGUGCUACUGGUACCUAAUGAGUAGAAGCCAGAAACAUUACUAAAACAUCCUAAAAUGAAGCAGAUAAUCCCUGUCCCCCAAUAAAGACAAAGGCUUAUCUGGCCCAAAUGACUAUAGUGCCAGCUGAAAAAUCCUAACCUAGAGCAGUCUUGUCAUGUUUCUUGGGCCUAGAAAGCAGCCACAGAAGCAAGAAGCACAGCAGCGAUCCUAAGACCAUAAGGAGAAGAGCACCAAGGUGAAGAAAGAAGUCUUAUUCUUUGACUAAAUGUUUAUUUAAGCAACUGUCUCUUCCUGAGUUUUUAUUGUGUGAGAUAAAUAAACCCUUAUUUGCUUAAACCACGGGUAGCCAGGUUUUCUGUUGCCUCAGAGCCAAACUGUAUUUCUAAAUAAUACAUUUGUCAUUCACUUAUGGUCCACUUUAUGUUCAGACAUGGGGUUAAACAUUUUGAAUAAACUGAUAAAUCAGGUACAGUUUGGUGUUUUUGUUUUGUUUUGUUUUGUUUUGUUUUUUUACCUCUGGGAACUUACUAUCCACUGAGGAAGCCAAGCAUCAGGCCAAGCAAAGGUGGGCUGCUCCUGGUGUAAACAACACAUUGUGGGAACUCAGAGUAAGGAUUCAGGAAUGAAGCAGGAUGGGGCAGGAAAGAACACUCUAAGGAAAUAAAAUGUUCUAUCCUACAAUGGGGGGGGGGGGUGGCAGGGAUGGGUGGAAGCCAUCCUUGAAGAAACAUUAGUAUAAAUGGAGUUCAGAAGAUAAAAUGUCCUGUACUAUUGAGGAAAAUAACAAGUAAGAGCCUCGUGAAUGAAAUAAAGAGUAAGUUGGGGAGGAGUUCUAGGUGGAAAGUAUUUUAAUCUAAAAAGUAAAGUUGGGGAGUAAAUUGUACAAAGAAUAGCAAACCAUCUGCAUUCGAGACACUAACAUUCAAGCUAUAAGGAACCAUUUGGCUACUGUUAACAAGAGAUUGGCAAGACCAGACCUGCGUUUUAGGAAACAAAAUAAGUGUGGUGAACUGGACUUGGAGGAUUCCAUCUACAAAUAAUUAAAAUAUGACUGAGGAAUCAUAUCUUCCUGUUUACAAUCUAGUAAGAUGGAAAGAGACCCCAAACCUCACUUCAAAACACUUUAAAAUGUGACAAAAGCGUAGUGUUGAGCUGUUGCGGCCUCACAUCUCACUGUUAAUGCCAAUUGUGUUUUGCUUACAGAAACCACAAAUUGGUUUCCGUUAGGUAAUUCAUAAAAUAAUUCCUUUGUUUAAAGAAUUUAAGAAAGGAUUCUAGAAAUAAACGAUUACAGUGCUUUGCUAUAAAUGUUCAAAAUUAUUUGUUUCAAUAGGUGGAAACCCAGAGAGGCAUCUGUCAAUCACGCCUAAAUCUGUAUCAGUCCUACCCCACGCGCAAAGCUGUCAAUAACUUGUAUGGAAAGGAACUGUUUUCACUCAGAGAGAGCUUAGAUUUAUAUCCGUAGUCUGUAGUCACAGCUAUUUAAUCAUGCUGUAAAAAAAAAAAAAAAAAAAAAAAAAAAAAA